AAUUCUCUUUAGGCGACUUUUGAAAGUGUUAAAGUGGCCUAUCAGUUUGUUUACACAAGUCUCUAAGGAUCAAUAAGCGUUGCCCAUCUACAGGUUUGAAGAUGAUGCAUCAUUGGGAUCGGGAUUAGAGAGCUUGUAGUUCUAUUCGUUUAAUUAAGUGAUUUAAUUUGUUAACUUGGAUUUGAAAUUUGUCGUACUAUUCGUAUUUCCUUAAUUCAGUUAAUUGGUUUGGACCUAAUAUGUAAUAGAUUAUUUAUGAACCUAAAAGUUAGUUUUAUGUUUUCCGCUGCAAAA
Molecule: long non-coding RNA, 294 nt
Organism: Spinacia oleracea (spinach)
Lineage: Eukaryota; Viridiplantae; Streptophyta; Magnoliopsida; Caryophyllales; Amaranthaceae
Exons: 2
Source: RefSeq, a predicted model, not a curated record